Molecule: unclassified non-coding RNA, 906 nt
Filed under: uncultured soil eukaryote
Lineage: Eukaryota
Description: sequence contains 18S rRNA gene, ITS1, 5.8S rRNA gene, ITS2, 28S rRNA gene
Source: RNAcentral
GGAAGGAUCAUUAACGCUAAUCCAAAAACCUAAACCAAUCCUUAAGUUGCAGCAUUGGUGCAAGCUAGCGAAAGCAGGCAUGUCCAUUGCAGCAUCUAAUAAAACUAAUCUAAAGGAGUUUAACUAAGCUCUUUAUUAAAAACCAAAUUCUCAACGGUGGAUAUCUUGGUUUCCGUAACGAUGAAGAACGCAGCGAAGUGCGAUAAGCAGUGCGAAUUGCAGAACCGUGAGUCAUCAGAUUUUUGAACGCAACUGGCGCCAGUUGGCAAUCCAGCUGGCAUGCUUGUUUCAGUGUCUUGUUUUCUCCUAACCCAAAUCUUAAUGUGAGAGAUACCCUUCUCUUGCUAAGUACGAAAGCACUCUGUACUCUGCAGGCAUCCUUGAUUCGUCAAGGGUUGCACUCAAUGCAGCAGUCACAUUUUAUAUGUGAACUCAUUGAGAGUCGAGACAGUGCAGUUUAUCUGCUAGUGCUUAGAUCACUUAACUUUACUUGCAUCUGAAAUCAAGCAGGACCACCCCCUGAACUUAAGCAUAUCACUAAGGGGAGGAAAAGAAAAUAACUAUGAUUGCCUCAGUAACGGCGAGUGAAGCGGCAAAAGCCCAAACUGGUAAUCUUCACCCUGCGGGUGACGAAUUGUAAUCUACAGGUGGAAUACUCAAUGUGCAGAGACGCAGAAGUUCCCUAGAAUGGGACGCCAUAGAGGGUGACAGCCCCGUACUUGGUGUCUCUGCUAAACGAGUAUCCUUCGAAGAGUCGGGUUGUUUUGUAUUGCAGCCCUAAGUGGGAGAUAAACUUCUUCUAAGGCUAAAUAUHUAUGGGAAACCGAUAGCGAACAAGUACUGUGAAGGAAAGAUGAAAAGAACUUUGAAAAGAGAGUCAAAAGACUUGAAAUCGUUGAGAAGGAA